CAAUAGCGUAUAUUAAAGUUGUUGCAGUUAGAACGCUCGUAGUCGGAUUUCGGGGCGGGCCGACCGGUCUGCCGAUGGGUACGCACUGGUCGGCGCGUCCUUCCUUCCGGAGACUGUGCCUACUCUUAACUGAGCGGGGGCAGGAGUCGGAUCGUUUACUUUGAAAAAAUCAGAGUGUUUCAAGCAGGCAGCUCGCUCUUGCAUGGAUUAGCAUGGGAUAAUGAAAUAGGACUUUGGUGCUAUUUUGUUGGUUUCGAACACCGAAGUAAUGAUUAAAAGGGACAGUCAGGGGCACUCGUAUUCCGCCGAGAGAGGUGAAAUUCUCAGACCAGCGGAAGACGAACCACUGCGAAAGCAUUUGCCAGGGAUGUUUUCACUG
RNAcentral lists this ribosomal RNA (379 nucleotides) under uncultured eukaryote. RNAcentral describes it as "partial 18S ribosomal RNA". It matches the Rfam family "Eukaryotic small subunit ribosomal RNA", at positions 592 to 975 of the family's 1831-position model. The record is from RNAcentral.